This 310-nucleotide ribosomal RNA is filed under the name Escherichia coli. RNAcentral describes it as "bacterial SSU rRNA". It matches the Rfam family "Bacterial small subunit ribosomal RNA", at positions 108 to 421 of the family's 1533-position model. The record is from RNAcentral. Lineage: Bacteria; Pseudomonadati; Pseudomonadota; Gammaproteobacteria; Enterobacterales; Enterobacteriaceae.
GAGUAAUGUCUGGGAAACUGCCUGAUGGAGGGGGAUAACUACUGGAAACGGUAGCUAAUACCGCAUAACGUCGCAAGACCAAAGAGGGGGACCUUCGGGCCUCUUGCCAUCGGAUGUGCCCAGAUGGGAUUAGCUAGUAGGUGGGGUAACGGCUCACCUAGGCGACGAUCCCUAGCUGGUCUGAGAGGAUGACCAGCCACACUGGAACUGAGACACGGUCCAGACUCCUACGGGAGGCAGCAGUGGGGAAUAUUGCACAAUGGGCGCAAGCCUGAUGCAGCCAUGCCGCGUGUAUGAAGAAGGCCUUCGG